RNAcentral lists this ribosomal RNA (253 nucleotides) under uncultured bacterium. RNAcentral describes it as "partial 16S ribosomal RNA". It matches the Rfam family "Bacterial small subunit ribosomal RNA", at positions 524 to 776 of the family's 1533-position model. The record is from RNAcentral.
AACGGAGGGGGCAAGUGAGGUUCGGAAUUACUGGGCGUAAAGCGCGUGUAGGUGGUUCGGUAAGGCGAAUGAGAAAGCCCCGGGCUCAACCCGGGAAGUGCAUCCGAAACUGCCGAACUAGAGUCCCGGAGAGGAAGGCAGAAUUCCCAAUGUAGGGGUGAAAUCCGUAGAUAUUGGGAGGAAUACCGGUGGCGAAGGCGGCCUUCUGGACGGUGACUGACACUCAGACGCGAAAGCGUGGGGAGCAAACAGG